CAAGAAGUAGUUUAAUUAGAAUAUCAGCUUUGGGUGCUGAUGGUGGGAAUAGUCCUCUCUGA
This 62-nucleotide transfer RNA is filed under the name Mus terricolor (Earth-colored mouse). RNAcentral describes it as "tRNA-Pro". The record is from RNAcentral. Lineage: Eukaryota; Metazoa; Chordata; Mammalia; Rodentia; Muridae.